This 214-nucleotide long non-coding RNA is filed under the name Elaeis guineensis (African oil palm). RNAcentral's name for it is "long non-coding RNA (EGUI_LNC057541)". Lineage: Eukaryota; Viridiplantae; Streptophyta; Magnoliopsida; Arecales; Arecaceae. The record is from RNAcentral.
GCUGGUAUACGAGCAGCAGGCGGUCAAGGAUGCGGAGGCAGAGUCUGAGGUCCUGAGAAAAAAGCUCCGAGAGGCAGAGAACAAAAGCCAACGAUUUCAUCGAAGGUAUCUGGAGUUGCUAAUGAGGGAGAAAGAAUUGGAAGAAGAAGUCAAAAUCUUAAGGCACUCCCUGAUGAGGGUCGAAGCCAAAAGUUCGAAGUCGGAAGAAGCUGGG